AGAAUAUAAGAAUCCGUCUCUUAACUUUUAAGUAAAAAAACUAAGAACCGGCUCUUAAAUAAGAGAUUUAAGAACCGGUUCUUAACUUUUUUAGUUAAAAAUUAAGAGACGGAUUUUUAUAUUCC
Molecule: non-coding RNA, 125 nt
Organism: Brassica napus (rape)
Lineage: Eukaryota; Viridiplantae; Streptophyta; Magnoliopsida; Brassicales; Brassicaceae
Source: Rfam